AUUGAACGCUGGCGGCAGGCCUAACACAUGCAAGUCGAACGGUAACAGGAAGAAGCUUGCUUCUUUGCUGACGAGUGGCGGACGGGUGAGUAAUGUCUGGGAAACUGCCUGAUGGAGGGGGAUAACUACUGGAAGCGGUAGCUAAUACCGCAUAACGUCGCAAGACCAAAGAGGGGGACCUUCGGGCCUCUUGCCAUCGGAUGUGCCCAGAUGGGAUUAGCUAGUAGGUGGGGUAACGGCUCACCUAGGCGACGAUCCCUAGCUGGUCUGAGAGGAUGACCAGCCACACUGGAACUGAGACACGGUCCAGACUCCUACGGGAGGCAGCAGUGGGGAAUAUUGCACAGUGGGCGCAAGCCUGAUGCAGCCAUGCCGCGUGUAUGAAGAAGGCCUUCGGGUUGUAAAGUACUUUCAGCGGGGAGGAAGGGAGUAAAGUUAAUACCUUUGCUCAUUGACGUUACCCGCAGAAGAAGCACCGGCUAACUCCGUG
RNAcentral lists this ribosomal RNA (490 nucleotides) under uncultured bacterium. Its description in RNAcentral is "partial 16S ribosomal RNA". It matches the Rfam family "Bacterial small subunit ribosomal RNA", at positions 30 to 507 of the family's 1533-position model. The record is from RNAcentral.